This 70-nucleotide transfer RNA is filed under the name Caenibius sp. WL. Its description in RNAcentral is "tRNA-Gln". The record is from RNAcentral. Lineage: Bacteria; Pseudomonadati; Pseudomonadota; Alphaproteobacteria; Sphingomonadales; Erythrobacteraceae.
CGCAGAAUAGCGUGGGUUGUGGCGGACUCUGACUCCGUCAAUCGAGGUUCGAAUCCUCGCGGGGCAUCCA